GACGAACGCUGGCGGCGUGCCUAAUACAUGCAAGUCGAACGCAGUGGGGACUGGUGAUUAACACGUGGGUAACCUCCCAUCAGAGGGGAUAACACUUGGAAACAGGUGCUAAACCGAUACUGCUGGAUGAACCCGCGGGGUAUUAGCGAGUUGGUGGGGUAACGGCUUACCAAGGCCACGAUGCAUAGCCGGUCUGAGAGGUUGAUCGGCCACACUGUGACUGAGACACGGCCCAGACUCCUACGGGAGGCAGCAGUGGGGAAUCUUCGGCAAUGGACGAAAGUCUGACCCAGCCACGCCGCGUGAGUGAAGAAGGUUUUCGGAUUGUAAAGCACUUUUGGUAGAGAAGCGGUACCUAACCAGGAAGCCACGGCUAACUACGUGCCAGCAGCCGCGGUAAUUC
This 403-nucleotide ribosomal RNA is filed under the name uncultured bacterium. Its description in RNAcentral is "partial 16S ribosomal RNA". It matches the Rfam family "Bacterial small subunit ribosomal RNA", at positions 28 to 526 of the family's 1533-position model. The record is from RNAcentral.